CUUGUACACACCGCCCGUCACGUCAUGAAAGCCAGCAACACCUGAAGUCGAUGAGCCAACUCUUUUUAGCGAGAGGCAGUUGCCGAGGGUGGGGCCGGUGAUUGGGACGAAGUCGUAACAAGGUAGCCGUACCGGAAGGUGCGGCUGGAUCACCUCCUUUCUAGGGAG
This 168-nucleotide ribosomal RNA is filed under the name Chloroflexota bacterium. RNAcentral describes it as "Chloroflexi bacterium partial 16S ribosomal RNA". It matches the Rfam family "Bacterial small subunit ribosomal RNA", at positions 1380 to 1533 of the family's 1533-position model. The record is from RNAcentral. Lineage: Bacteria; Bacillati; Chloroflexota.